GGAGAGAUGGCCGAGUCCGGCUGAAGGCGCUCGCCUGGAAAGCGAGUAGACGGGCAAACCCCGUCUCGAGGGUUCGAAUCCCUCUCUCUCCG
Molecule: transfer RNA, 92 nt
Filed under: Natranaerobius trueperi
Lineage: Bacteria; Bacillati; Bacillota; Clostridia; Natranaerobiales; Natranaerobiaceae
Rfam family: tRNA
About the family: Transfer RNA (tRNA) molecules are approximately 80 nucleotides in length. Their secondary structure includes four short double-helical elements and three loops (D, anti-codon, and T loops). Further hydrogen bonds mediate the characteristic L-shaped molecular structure. tRNAs have two regions of fundamental functional importance: the anti-codon, which is responsible for specific mRNA codon recognition, and the 3' end, to which the tRNAs corresponding amino acid is attached (by aminoacyl-tRNA synthetases). tRNAs cope with the degeneracy of the genetic code in two manners: having more than one tRNA (with a specific anti-codon) for a particular amino acid; and 'wobble' base-pairing, i.e. permitting non-standard base-pairing at the 3rd anti-codon position.
Source: Rfam by way of RNAcentral